AUCUACCGCCAUACCACCCUGAACGCACCCGAUCUCGUCUGAUCUCGGAAGCUAAGCAGGGUCGGGCCUGGUUAGUACUAGGAUGGGAGACCAAAAGACUGUCCCUAAUCCUUGGGCACUGACGUAGUUU
This is a ribosomal RNA of Ochotona princeps (American pika), 130 nucleotides long. NCBI's taxonomy places the organism in Eukaryota, Metazoa, Chordata, Mammalia, Lagomorpha, Ochotonidae. The record is from Ensembl.